This 253-nucleotide ribosomal RNA is filed under the name uncultured bacterium. Its description in RNAcentral is "partial 16S ribosomal RNA". It matches the Rfam family "Bacterial small subunit ribosomal RNA", at positions 524 to 776 of the family's 1533-position model. The record is from RNAcentral.
UACAGAGACUGCGAGCGUUAUUCGGAUUCACUGGGCGUAAAGGGUGCGCAGGUGGCUAGGCGUGUUAGGCGUGAAAGCCCGGGGCUUAACCCCGGAAUUGCACCUAAAACUACUUGGCUAGAGCAUUGGAGAGGGGAGCAGAAUUCCUGGUGUAGCGGUGAAAUGCGCAGAUAUCAGGAGGAACACCAAUGGCGAAGGCAGCACUCUGGGACGUGACUGACGCUGAGACGCGAAAGCGUGGGGAGCAAACAGG